This 335-nucleotide unclassified non-coding RNA is filed under the name soil metagenome. Its description in RNAcentral is "partial contains 5.8S ribosomal RNA, internal transcribed spacer 2, and large subunit ribosomal RNA". The stretch from base 1 to 120 matches the Rfam family "5.8S ribosomal RNA", at positions 35 to 154 of the family's 154-position model. The record is from RNAcentral.
GAUGAAGAACGCAGUGAAAUGCGAUAAGUAGUGUGAAUUGCAGAAUUCAGUGAAUCAUCGAAUCUUUGAACGCACAUUGCGCCCGCUAGUAUUCUGGCGGGCAUGCCUGUUCGAGCGUCAUUUCAACCAUCAAGCCCCUUAGCUUGUGUUGGGGACCUGCGGCUGCCGCAGCCCCCGAAAUGCAGUGGCGGGCUCGUUGUCACACCGAGUGCAGUAAUCAUUCUUCUCUCCGGGCGUGGCGGCGGGUUCCGGCCGUAAAAUCACCAAUUUAUCAAGGUUGACCUCGGAUCAGGUAGGAAUACCCGCUGAACUUAAGCAUAUCAAUAAGCGGAGGA